Molecule: long non-coding RNA, 322 nt
Organism: Leptidea sinapis
Lineage: Eukaryota; Metazoa; Arthropoda; Insecta; Lepidoptera; Pieridae
Exons: 3
Source: RefSeq, a predicted model, not a curated record
GCAAUGCCGUCGCUAGAACUCAAAUUAUAUAUACGAAUAGUUGCUGUAGUAUUUUCUAUUUCUUCAGCAACAGCAUUUGGAUUCUCAUUAUUACGACUUUUAGAUCCUGAAUUAUUUUACACAGUCGAGUUGGACAAUACUGGAAUAGGUAAUGUUCACAAAUUUAAUUUGGUCAUUCAUUAUAUAAUCUGUGGCAUGAUGAUAGUGACAAGUGCUAUCGGAUUUCUGAACAGUUUAAUUGUAAUGAACAGAAGUAGUUCAAAGAAUACUGGGAGAAAUAUAACAGUGUGGCUACUUUUGGACUCACUGUUUGAGACUACCC